GACGAACGCUGGCGGCGUGCUUGACACAUGCAAGUCGAACGGAAAGGCCCUGCUUUUGUGGGGUGCUCGAGUGGCGAACGGGUGAGUAACACGUGAGUAACCUGCCCUUGACUUUGGGAUAACUUCAGGAAACUGGGGCUAAUACCGGAUAGGAGCUCCUGCUGCAUGGUGGGGGUUGGAAAGUUUCGGCGGUUGGGGAUGGACUCGCGGCUUAUCAGCUUGUUGGUGGGGGAGUGGCUUACCAAGGCUUUGACGGGUAGCCGGCCUGAGAGGGUGACCGGCCACAUUGGGACUGAGAUACGGCCCAGACUCCUACGGGAGGCAGCAGUGGGGAAUAUUGCACAAUGGGCGGAAGCCUGAUGCAGCAACGCCGCGUGCGGGAUGACGGCCUUCGGGUUGUAAACCGCUUUCGCCUGUGACGAAGCGUGAGUGACGGUAAUGGGUAAAGAAGCACCGGCUAACUACGUG
Molecule: ribosomal RNA, 468 nt
Filed under: uncultured bacterium
Lineage: Bacteria
Description: partial 16S ribosomal RNA
Rfam family: Bacterial small subunit ribosomal RNA
Source: RNAcentral